RNAcentral lists this ribosomal RNA (429 nucleotides) under Bacteroidota bacterium. RNAcentral's name for it is "Bacteroidetes bacterium partial 16S ribosomal RNA". It matches the Rfam family "Bacterial small subunit ribosomal RNA", at positions 355 to 776 of the family's 1533-position model. The record is from RNAcentral. Lineage: Bacteria; Pseudomonadati; Bacteroidota.
UAGGGAAUCUUCGGCAAUGGGGGGAACCCUGACCGAGCAACGCCGCGUGAGUGAAGAAGGUUUUCGGAUCGUAAAGCUCUGUUGUUAAGGAAGAACGAGUGUGAGAAUGGAAAGUUCAUGCUGUGACGGUACUUAACCAGAAAGGGACGGCUAACUACGUGCCAGCAGCCGCGGUAAUACGUAGGUCCCGAGCGUUGUCCGGAUUUAUUGGGCGUAAAGCGAGCGCAGGCGGUUAGAAAAGUCUGAAGUGAAAGGCAGUGGCUCAACCAUUGUAGGCUUUGGAAACUGUUUAACUUGAGUGCAGAAGGGGAGAGUGGAAUUCCAUGUGUAGCGGUGAAAUGCGUAGAUAUAUGGAGGAACACCGGUGGCGAAAGCGACUUUCUGGACGAACACUGACGCUGAGGCGCGAAAGCCAGGGGAGCGAACGGG